UAUAUAGUAACUUUAUGAAACUUGGGGGCUGUGAUGACGAUGAGAAGAUUAUUUUGAAAAGUAUUUAUGGUAUUAUUCUAUGUAGCAUAGAAACGGAAAUAUGGACACGGGGAAACACGGAAUGGACAUGGGGAAACUACAUUUUUAAAAAAUAGGAAAACAGAAACGUGGGGAAAUGGGUAAAUAUAAAGAAUAUAGGAUACAUUUAUAAAUAUUGAAUAAAAUAAUAAAUAAAUAAAAUAAAAAUGUGGAAUUAAUUUAAAACUAAUAAAGCUAUUGUACUGAUAAUUUAAUUAUGUUUAACUUAACAUUUUUAGCAUUUUCAUUUAUUUUUAUUGCUAAUAUUAAUAAUAUUGUUUAAUUUAGGUUGCCUAAUUAUUGAGAAAGAAAUUUAAAAUGAGUAUAGUACAAGUAGAUAGGACAAUUGUUCUAAACCUUGUUAUUUUAUUAUAAUCUAUUAUAUUUUAUUAAAUUUUGAAAAUAAAAAGAAUAAGAAAAGAAAAGAAAUUAAAAAGGAAACAAAAUAAGGACCAAUCAAAACCAAGAAUUUCUCUCCCUUACGUCUUUCUCUCCUCGUCCACUCUCUUGCUAUGAACAUCAUUGACGAGAUUCAAACCACUUUCUGACAUUGGUGAAGCAGUUGAUCAAUCCAGUAAGCUCAGGCACGAGAGAAGAUGGGUUAACGGUGGCUUUGGGAAGCUUAACUAUGGGUUUUGUGGCGAGGAUUAACAAAUGCCAAUUGUAAGCUAGGAGCCAUCUCCGACCAUCGGAAACGCGUUUCCAAUGCAAAAACGCGUUUCCAUCUUUUGAUUUUUUAAGACACGACCCCGUAACGUGUUAUGGGUGUGUCCUGCUGUUUCUGUCUCGGAAACGUUUUCAAAAUGAAGAAAUGCCAGAUUGGAGUUUCCAUGCUUCACACUAUUAUUGUACAUUUACACUUUUUUUUUUGUCACAUUCAUCACUCUUUUUUUAAUUUUUUUUAAAGACCACAUUGAAGAAGCUAUAUGUAUCUUUAGUCUGAGAAGAUGAUGUUGUCAGCAAACUGCAAUCAUCUUUGGGGCAGCUUGAAGCCCUUAGGAGACAAUACACACAGAAUACACAAAGCAUUGAGAGAAAGAUAACUCUGAUGAAAAUUGUAUAACUAAAAACUGAACUGAAUGAAUUACAUGGAAUUAGGGGCUAUUUAUAGAGUUUAGAACCAGAACCCUAAACUAACUAGGAAAAUAUAAAUCCUAGCUAAAUUAGGAAAUUUAGAUAUACUCAAUCCUAAUAGAAUAGGAAGAAAUAAUCUAAAUCCUAAUUAAAAUAGGAAGAAAUAAAUUCUAACUAGAAUAGGAAAAUGCAUUAAAAUUCUAAAUAGAAUUGGAAACUAUCCCAGUCCUAGAUGGAAUAGGAAACUAAAAUAAAAACCUGAUUAGAAUAAGAAUUAUGAAACAUCAGCUUCCACAUGAACAUGCUCUGCAUCAUGUUGUGCUAAAAUAGUUUUGAAAAACAUCAAGUAUGAAGAACGAAAUGGAGCUUGUACAAGUCAUCAAUGUAAAUGUUAGCAUAAAUGUGCUGUCAUGGGAUAUGGUGCAACUACAAAACCUUAACAAGCUGUCAUACUAUUGAGCAUUAGACAUUGCAUGGAUUUCAUCUUCUAUCAUAGUAGAAUAAUGGUUUGUUUAUGACCAUACAACUUUGAUAUCAAAAAAUUCAACUAGUUUUUAAUAUAUAUGCAUAAAAUCUUUUGGCAAAUGAACAGACUUGCCCAUUCAGAUUUAUUUAUGAAAUUAUGAUUCAGAUUUCCUGGUUUCCAAAAUCUUCUGUAAAAGGAAACUUCAAUAAUAAAUUUCUAGAUUGAAAUUGUGUUUUAUAAAUAAGGUUGCAUGAGUUAAAACUUUUGUAUUAUAACAAUAUUAAAUAACAAUAAAUCAUCAUCAUUAUUAUUAUAUUUUGUGAAGGACAUAAUUUUAAAGUUUAAUCUACCAGAUACACUUUGAAAUUCUAAGUAUUUCUAGUUUGAGAAACAAAUAUUUUUGAAGUAUUUGCUGAGUCUAUAUUCAUUACUAUGAUUUGCAAGUGUAUUAUUUACAACAUGUGAAACUUCUUCUUCCAGGACCAUUCAUUUGAGCAAUUUUCCUUCUGAGGUCAUUACAUAUGAUCAGUGGGUGCAGUUGAAACCGGAACCAAAAGGCAUGUUUUCUGGGUGGAUUAAGGGUGCCUUUCGUGGUGGAAAGAAAGACAUGCAAGAAUCUAUACAUGAGAAGCUUAAUUUUACUCUCAGCACAGCUCCAAUGUGGGACAGGUUGGAGCUUAAAGGUAACAAAUAUAUCCUAGGAGAAUUUCUGGAAUUCAAAGGAAAAGAAGAAGAUAUCAUUACUUUGAGAAACAUCAAGAGAUCAAAAGUUAGACGUCUUAUUGUCCAAAAGACAAGCAUGUUGGGACUAGCCCAUUCAAAGCUUCAAGUAUUGUACUCCCCUCGCGAUUAUAGGAGUGAAGGGGCUUCAAGUUCUGAGUGGAAAGAAGCAACCGUGAGAUCAAGUACAGAGGUGUUAUUUCAGCCAGAGAACUCCAGAAAAGUUCGCAAAUUCAAACUCUCUUCAAUUAUCUCCAUGUCGUUGAGUGCCUGAAGAUGCUUUUGAUGAAUGUGUAUUUCAUUGCUGGAAUUCACAGUUAUGAUGCGCCCUAGAAGUUUAAACUGCUUUCUCAAUAAGUGUGGUGUUAAUUGUCAUGGUUGUGUGGCAUGUAUGUGUGGUAUGGGGUUGUAAUAACUGAGCAUAUAUAAGAUCAAUUUUGAAGAAAAGAAACGCCUUAUUAUUCUUGGAUUUGAGUAUACUCUUCAUUUAUCACAUCAAAAUACAGUAAGCAAAAGGAGAGCAGGACCACUCCACCUGGAACAGAACCAAAACUGAAGCACCCAAGUGGCGUCUCCAUGACCAUGUCCUGUCAUGUUAUUGCUUGGCUUCAGAUUUAUCAAAGAAACGGUAUACUUGCAGUGUACUAUUCAAAUCUCACCCGUCACAUAUCUUUUGUCUUCCUAAUGCUAAAAACGAAAAUGGUGUAUUAUAUCAGGAAUCUCAUUUUGUUCCUUACGUGGCAUGAAUCGAUUACACAGGAACCCUCAAACGAAAGACAUGAUAAGGAGUCUCAUCACCACCAGUAGUCUCAAAGUAGAUAGUGGUUGGAACUUUCAUUACCGGUGAUCUUGUCAGCCCACCACCCAUCAUUGUCGAAUAGCAUCCACCUCAAUCAACGGCCCGGAUUCAUCCUCCUCUAGCAGGUUCUUGCACUUCACUGCAUAGGAGCAGGUAAGACGUUUGACCACUGUUGCUUGAUGUAGGAGCCUCAACACCCAUCCUCAUUGCUGCAAACUUCUACACGUUCUCCCCUCCAAAACCCCAUAAUUUGCAUACAAAAUAACUAGACGAAAGUGCAAGCAGAGAGCAUUUGAAACUAUAUUUAUCGGUGCUGGCUUUGCAUAUCCUAAUACGACUAGUCGAAGGAAACAGUAUGCGGUUUAAUUAAUGUUUUUUGGUUCUUCCUGUUUCUACGAGGAUUUGAA
Molecule: unclassified non-coding RNA, 3544 nt
Filed under: Hevea brasiliensis (rubber tree)
Lineage: Eukaryota; Viridiplantae; Streptophyta; Magnoliopsida; Malpighiales; Euphorbiaceae
Source: RNAcentral